RNAcentral lists this long non-coding RNA (1286 nucleotides) under Strigops habroptila (Kakapo). RNAcentral's name for it is "lncRNA (ENSSHBG00005003018.1)". The record is from RNAcentral. Lineage: Eukaryota; Metazoa; Chordata; Aves; Psittaciformes; Psittacidae.
UUUUUUUUUUUUUGUUGUUGUUGCUAACCAGCUCCCACACAUUAUCUGCUCUAAAACAAGUUCAGCGGGGGGGGGGGGGGGGGGGGGAGGGAUCUAAUUUUUCCUUCCACCACUUUUUUGGGAUGCAAAAACUAGAUGUCAAACUAGACGUCUUUUUAAUAUACUCCAGAAACAAUGAGAUAUUUGGGUAACAAAGAAACAUUAUAUAGAUUGGAGUCCUCAAGUGAAACAGCAAAAUCAGAAUUUACACAAGCAGGGGAAAAGUGCACUGAAAUUAGUUUUCUUGACAGAAACCUUCCCACUUUUCAUAAAUCAACCACAUAAUUUUGUAUGAAGGGUCGCUCCCAUAAUUCGUUUUCCUACCAAGGUUUUUAUGAGGUUGAAGCAGUACCACUCAUGUGGAAAGCACAAAGUACAUUUUUCUAAAUUACUAUUCUUUGUAUAAAAGUCACAAAAAAACCCCAAACCAAUCUGGAUAAAGCAAAUAACUUUGCUCUACUCAGAGUACAAGAUGGGAUGUGAGAAACUUAGAGUUAUGGUAACCAAGCACAUAAGAACAAUUAAUGUGUCAUGCUUUUAUCUUCUACACAAAAGCCCGGGAACUAACGUUGAUCGAGAUGAGAACACGCUGUUCUUCCCAGCUUUUCCUGUUGCGCUCUCUCGUCUGUGAGCUUCUUCCAUCUUUCCUAUAGAUGUGGUCAUCCCUGCUUAGCAACCAACGGGACCCGACAGCACAGAGGAAAAUCCUCCGUCUAGAUCUCACCCUACUCCACAUCUCACCCUGCUCCACCUCCACGGCUGCAGACUCUCUUUCACUGCGAAUUAAGAACUCGUUUGCUUUGUUGCCUCAGAGAUACAAAGAGGGACCUCAGACCUAGCUUCGUGGGAGAUUAUGUUUUCCUGGGUGGGUGUAUGGGGAGAACUGAACGAGCUGGAGACUAGGAGAACCUGGGGCUUGCCAGGAAAGCAGCUCCCCAACAGCUAAUGCCAGUUUUAAAACAAGCAAGCAAGCAAACAAACCAAACAAACCAAACUAAAACAAACACGAAACAAAACAAACACAAAACAAACAACCUAAGCAAACAAAAUAAACCAAACAGGUGCCACACAUCGAUGCAGCGAUGGGGAAGAGAAAAGCCCCAGAAAGACAAGGGAUUAAACCGAACACAUUACCUACUUUUACUCAGUGCUCCAGCCGCCCUCCGAGGCGAGGAGGGGUCGGAGGGACCCGCAAGCGGCAGCUGAGAGCAAGUCCAGGCACAACCCCGCGAACAAGACGGAGGAAA